UCCAAUUUGCCGAGUAGCUCCAUGAGUUAUGCUUCAGGAGUUUGUCUGCCAUCAAUAGAGGCUGAAAGGAUCUCAACACUGGAUACAAGAACACUCCAGCAGGAAGUUACUUUUAAGAUUCUUUGCGCCAAUGAUAGGGUUGGGGGUGUCAUUGGAAAAGGGGGUGCCAUUGUCAAGGCUCUUCAGAAUGAGACUGGUGCUACUAUAAGUGUUGGAGGAUCUGUGGCCGAGUGUGAUGAAAGAUUAAUUACUGUUACUGCAUAAGAGAAUCCUGAGUCCCGCUACUCUCCAGCACAAAAAGGUCUUGUUCUUGUCUUCUCAAGGUCUGUAGAGGCAGGCAUUGAAAAGAGGCAAGACUCGAGCUCCAAAGGGUCACCUCUUAUUGCACGCCUUGUUGUCCCGACAAGCCAAGUUGGUUGUUUGCUCGGAAAAGGGGGUGUAAUAGUUUCAUAGAUUCGGAAGGUAACUGGUACCGGUAUACGGAUAAUAGGUGGUGUCCAGGUCCCGAAGUGUGCCGUAGAGAAUGACGAAGUUGUACAGGUGUCAAGAAAUUUUUCAAGUGUGCAAGAUGCUUUGUACAAUAUUACUGGUAGGUUACGAGAUAACCUUUUCUCCAACACAGUAAAUAAUUCUGGAAGGAGGAAUAGUUCAGCCGUGCUAACAGAUACCAAUCCUUAUGGAAGACUCAG
This is a long non-coding RNA of Rosa chinensis, 689 nucleotides long. RefSeq lists it as uncharacterized. Lineage: Eukaryota; Viridiplantae; Streptophyta; Magnoliopsida; Rosales; Rosaceae. The transcript has 3 exons. The record is from RefSeq and is a predicted model, not a curated record.